CGAGACGAACGAUAGCGAAAGCAUUUGCCAAGAAUGUUUUCCUUAAUCAAGAACGAAAGUCGGAGGUUCGAAGGCGAUCAGAUACCGCCCUAGUUCCGACCUUAAACCAUGCCGUCCGACCGCCCGCCAGGGUUACUACCGCGACUCGGCGGGCGGUGACUUUCCACCGGGAAACCCUUAAGCUUUCGGGUUCCGGGGGAAGUACGGUCGCAAAGCUGAAACUUAAAGGAAUUGACGGAAGGGCACCACCAGGAGUGGAGCCUGCGGCUUAAUUUGACUCAACACGGGGAACCUCACCCGGCCCGGACACCGCGAGGAUUGACAGAUCGAUAGCUCUUUCUCGAUCCGGUGGGUGGUGGUGCAUGGCCGUUCUUAGUUGGUGGAGCGAUCUGUCUGGUUAAUUCCGAUAACGAACGAGACUCUAGCCGGUUAAGUAGCCCGAGUGGCGUGUUGUUGAUUUAAAAACCGCCCUAGCGGCAUUCGGGGUGCUUUGCGGAAGCUGUCUGGCUUUAACGGUGGUGGGACGGGGAGGUGGAAGAYGACGGUUUUAGCCGCGUGCGUCGCGGCUGGGAUCUAGUUUUUUUAACUUCCCUUUAAUCCUGUCUCGUUUCGGCCUUUCACUUUUGUGGGCCUCUGUUUGCUUAGCUGGGGUAGAUAAAACGCUAACGAGAGUCGGGGGCAGUGGACGUUACUCGUGGAAUGGGUGGGCGCUCCUUAGUGGUGCGUCCCUCUUCCCGGUUUCGCUUUUCUGCUUUCCUCGUCGUCUCGCGCCACCGGCUUUCGAGUGCAAAAGCUUCUUAGAGGGACGAGCGGCGUUCAGCCGCGCGAGAUUGAGCGAUAAC
Molecule: ribosomal RNA, 842 nt
Filed under: Epiperipatus biolleyi
Lineage: Eukaryota; Metazoa; Onychophora; Udeonychophora; Euonychophora; Peripatidae
Description: SSU rRNA
Source: RNAcentral